Molecule: non-coding RNA, 1430 nt
Organism: Schizosaccharomyces pombe (fission yeast)
Lineage: Eukaryota; Fungi; Ascomycota; Schizosaccharomycetes; Schizosaccharomycetales; Schizosaccharomycetaceae
Source: the annotation of a GenBank genome assembly
UUUGUAAAUUUAUUUUUAUUUUUAUUCUUAUUUAUUUUGUCACAUCUUUACUUGAGUGUUCAUGCGACAUUUGGAAAAACGGUGCAAUUGAGCAAGGCUGAAUUACUUAUUUUUACAUUUAUUGACCACUUUCAUUGAAGCUAAGCUAUAUAAUGAAUGCAACGGUUAUGUGAGAUUGAGUAAGAAGUGUUAUGGAAUAAGCAAAGUUAAAUCAGUAGCUUUAAUUUUUUGUUGUUUUUAAUUUUAAUUUGCAAACAAACAAACAAAAACGUAUUCAUAUCAUACACCUAAUAUUCAUUCUUUUUAUUAAAAAAGAAAAAAAUAAGCACUAGUAAACUUGAUUGGUUCUAUUUAUUUGAAUGAAAGUAAACUUCGUUAUUGAAACACGAAUAGGAAUAUCAGACAACAUAUACGAGUGUCAAGAAUAAAGAAGAGUUUUUAGAUUUAAAGCAGUUUUGAAUGAAAAAACUCCCAUAAAAUGAUUAAAUCACAUUCAUUGCAAUAGGAAACUGUAUUCGGUAUAUACAAUCGGUAUUGCAUGUUGUACCAAGUAUAAUAUAGUGAUGAGAUUUUGAAGUUUGUGUUCUAUUACCACAUGGAACUACGUCAGGAGUGGAGACCAUAAUCAUUGUAAGUAUGUUGAAAAACUUUAUCCAAAGGGUAAAAACUCAGUUCUUCGAAUUAUAAAUCGGACCAGAGUUGCCGCAAUUGAAACGAAUUAGAUAAGUGAACAGGACAUGCUUAGCAAGUACAAACCAGUAUAAUUAGAAUUGAAUUAACAAAGGUAAAACUUGAACGUUCAUGUUUGUAUACUCAAAAGAAUCAACGGAGUUGUGAAAUUUUCUUAGUGGAGUUUACUCAUUGAUUUUUUACCACUUACACACAUAAGUCUUAUACUUGCCAAGUUGAAUGGUACCAUUAGUACCAGUACUAGUGUCAUCUAGUGUCAGUACUAGUGUCAGUAUAGGCAUCAACAUCAUCACCAGUAUCGGCGCCAGCAUCAGCACAGCACCACUACCACUACCACUUCCACUUACCACAAGCACUACCACCACCACCACCACUUCCACUUACCACUUCCAUUACUACCACGACUACCACUAACCAUCACCACUUUCAUCUCCAUUCUUGUCAUUAUUGGCUUGUUGUACGUUGUUUAAAUGUUUCAACGUAUGUACAUUUGUGACUACGAUUUCUUGUUAGCGAUAUAAACGAAGAGGAUAAAGACUUUGGAGUAAAUAAUUUUGGCCGUGCCACUAGCAUAAUGUAUUUAUGCGUCUAGGUAUCCUGCGUCUCGGUAUCCUUAGCGUUGCAAGUGGAAAGUGGCUUCACACUAUAAAUGGUUGACACAGCUAAUACAUUAGACAUAAACUUUCUCAGCAUUCACGAACAGUAAAAAUACUAUUGGUAAAUGAUUCAUGGAUAUAUAG